GACGAACGCUGGCGGCGUGCUUAACACAUGCAAGUCGAACGGAAAGGCCCUGCUUUUGUGGGGUGCUCGAGUGGCGAACGGGUGAGUAACACGUGAGUAACCUGCCCUUGACUUUGGGAUAACUUCAGGAAACUGGGGCUAAUACCGGAUAGGAGCUCCUGCUGCAUGGUGGGGGUUGGAAAGUUUCGGCGGUUGGGGAUGGACUCGCGGCUUAUCAGCUUGUUGGUGGGGUAGUGGAUUACCAAGGCUUUGACGGGUAGCCGGCCUGAGAGGGUGACCGGCCACACUGGGACUGAGAUACGGCCCAGACUCCUACGGGAGGCAGCAGUGGGGAAUAUUGCACAAUGGGCGGAAGCCUGAUGCAGCAAAGCCGCGUGGGGGAUGACGGCAUUCGGGUUGUAAACCGCUUUCGCCUGUGACGAAGCGUGAGUGACGGUAAUGGGUAAAGAAGCACCGGCUAACUACGUG
Molecule: ribosomal RNA, 468 nt
Filed under: uncultured bacterium
Lineage: Bacteria
Description: partial 16S ribosomal RNA
Rfam family: Bacterial small subunit ribosomal RNA
Source: RNAcentral